This 556-nucleotide ribosomal RNA is filed under the name uncultured archaeon. Its description in RNAcentral is "bacterial SSU rRNA". It matches the Rfam family "Archaeal small subunit ribosomal RNA", at positions 5 to 558 of the family's 1478-position model. The record is from RNAcentral.
CGGUUGAUCCUGCCGGAGGCCACUGCUAUGGGGGUCCGACUAAGCCAUGCGGGUCAUGGGGCGCCUUGCGCGCACCGGCGGACGGCUCAGUAACACGUCGGUAACCUACCCUCGGGAGGGGGAUAACCCCGGGAAACUGGGGCUAAUCCCCCGUAGGCCUGAGGUACUGGAAGGUCCUCAGGCCGAAAGGGUCUUUGACCGCCCGAGGAUGGGCCGGCGGCCGAUUAGGUAGUUGGUGGGGUAACGGCCCACCAAGCCGAAGAUCGGUACGGGCCAUGAGAGUGGGAGCCCGGAGAUGGACACUGAGACACGGGUCCAGGCCCUACGGGGCGCAGCAGGCGCGAAACCUCCGCAAUGCUCGAAAGAGCGACGGGGGGACCCCCAGUGCCGUGGCAUCGCCACGGCUUUUCCGGAGUGUAAAGAGCUCCGGGAAUAAGGGCUGGGCAAGGCCGGUGGCAGCCGCCGCGGUAAUACCGGCGGCCCGAGUGGUGGCCGCUAUUAUUGGGCCUAAAGCGUCCGUAGCCGGGCCAGUAAGUCCCUGGCGAAAUCCCACGGC